GGGAUCUUAGAAACAUUUAGAUAUUUAAGUUCAUAUUAGGAACAUAACAGUCAGUUCAAUCAUUUUUCACCUACUGGCCUCAUCGUCCUUAUGUUUGCUAAACACAUAGGGUGAAGAGAGAUGUAUGAAACUGGUCAUCAUCUUGCUUAUCCUCCUUUCAAGAGUUAUCCAAAAUACAUGCAACGGGGCCAUAUUUACAAGGGGGAGAAGACAAACAGAGCCCAUGAUAAUAGGGGUUCACUGGCUGAGUCAUUUGAUGUGCUACCUAUUGUUCUCUUCUGGAGGCUCAGCCUCAACCUGCCUGGGAGCGCUGAUUUUGAUGAUAGUGGUGCAGUCCCAAAAUGAUAAAUACCAUCUCUGAAGCAUGCAUUUCUGAAGAGGUGUACUGCUGCUUUCAUGCUAGCAAAACAUUUCCACUGCAGAGGAAAAAAUUGCCAAUGGCAUGGGUCUUAAAUUCCUUGAAUUCUAAAUUUAUUUAUUUUUUGGAGACAAUGUUAUCUGCCCAGUUUAUUUUAAAGUAAAUUUUACUGACUCAAUUAGACAGCAACACUCAUCCUCAUUAAAGAUCCUGCAGUCCUUUCACAAGAUUAGGGCUGGUGGCUUGGUCACAUUCCAAUGUGGAUAAUUGCAUUCUGCAUUCCUGGAUAUUUCCCUCCACCUUUCCAACCUCAUACCGUCAAAUGCAUUGUUAUUUACCCUUACUGCAAAUCAACAGUCCUGUUGUGGAGGCGCUGAGGGUUUGCCAUCCCCUCAGUUUGCAGGCUAAAGCAUCAGCCCAAACCACUGCUCCUUACACUUUUAAAAGAAAACCCCUUAGGUAAUGCAUAUUUUCAAAUAUGAGGCAAAUCUCAAUUAUGCACACUUAAUCAUAGGUUAAGGUUUUUGGUAAGUAAAAUAUUCUUAUUUUAUAAAGGAUGUUUAUUUUGGAAUCUUCUUUGAUUUAAAAAAUGUGUUGCUCGAAUAUGUGCUGUUUGCUCAAAGAAGAAAACAAAGUCUUCAGAAAUGGCAACAAAACAAACAAAAAAGCGAAAAAGCUCUUGAGGAAACAGCU
RNAcentral lists this long non-coding RNA (1051 nucleotides) under Homo sapiens (human). RNAcentral's name for it is "HSALNT0114129". The record is from RNAcentral. Lineage: Eukaryota; Metazoa; Chordata; Mammalia; Primates; Hominidae.